CGGGAGGAGGAUGUAGAACGGAUUUGGUGUGAUGUGGUUUGAGCUGGGAGUGGCUGUUUUUAAAUAGCGGAUGACGGCGAGGCCAAGCUUCCUGGUAUGUCAAUGCAAGGGUGUGAGAGUUGGUUUCUCGACCGACUUGUGCCUAUUUAAUGGUGACAGAUACGCAUUGAACACGGGGCUUAGAUAUACAUUUUGUUCCGUCCAGUAACGUCUGUCUUUCCGUCACUGAACGUGCACGAACACAGGGGAUGCGGUGUGGGCGGGGCCCUAGGCUGUUAAAUUUACUUUUGUUUUUUUAGAAAAAAAGGUAUUUAAUUAUAAAAGUACAUCUAGGUCUCCCUAGUGGGCUUUGGUGAUCAAUAGCGAACCAACCAAGAUACUGAGUGAACGUUCUCAGUAGGCCUUCAUGCAAUAAUGG
This 418-nucleotide long non-coding RNA is filed under the name Hordeum vulgare. RNAcentral's name for it is "long non-coding RNA (HVUL_LNC017008)". The record is from RNAcentral. Lineage: Eukaryota; Viridiplantae; Streptophyta; Magnoliopsida; Poales; Poaceae.